CGGACGGGUGAGUAACGCGUGGAGAACCUGCCGUAUACUGGGGGAUAACACUUAGAAAUAGGUGCUAAUACCGCAUAAGCGCACAGCUUCGCAUGAAGCAGUGUGAAAAACUCCGGUGGUAUACGAUGGAUCCGCGUCUGAUUAGCUGGUUGGCGGGGUAAGGGCCCACCAAGGCGACGAUCAGUAGCCGGCCUGAGAGGGUGAACGGCCACAUUGGGACUGAGACACGGCCCAAACUCCUACGGGAGGCAGCAG
This 255-nucleotide ribosomal RNA is filed under the name uncultured bacterium. RNAcentral describes it as "partial 16S ribosomal RNA". It matches the Rfam family "Bacterial small subunit ribosomal RNA", at positions 99 to 354 of the family's 1533-position model. The record is from RNAcentral.